GGUGAUGUAAGCCGCAUUUGCUCCUGAACUCUGAUGACAUUUCCACUUAGCUUAAUAUGAAUGUUUUAGAAAUUUCCCACAAUGGAAAGUUCUAUUUGACAUAGGAAAGUUCAGCGGUCAGCUUCAUAGUCAGCUGUAUGCCAAGAAAUAACGAAAACAGUGGAUUGCAUAGUGCAGCCUUGGGACAUGGAAAAUUUCUUAGAAGAUGAAUGAAUCAUAUUAUUAAUACAUCUUGUGGGGCCUGAGGCCUUAUACUGAAAAACAGGGGGAAAGUUGUUAUUUUUUUAAAGCUUGUAGCCUUUUUGUAUUUUCUUUCUUGUGUUUUAUGUAGACUUUAUUCUUUUUAAUUUUUUAAGAAUAAUUACUAUCCUCUCAAUAUCACAUUUUUUAGAGAAAAGGGAAAAACAUCGGUAGUGUCUAGAAUCCUGACUUGUUCCUCUUGGCUUCCUUAAAAUUUUGUAAUAACCUUAAUCUUAAAUCAAAUCUUGUCUAAAAUUUCUUCCUAUAAAUAAUUAUGGUUAUUCACUUAUAAAAGGCUGCUUUAUUUGAGACUGUUUCUAUUUAGAAAGAAGACAAAUACAGAAAGACAUGUGGAAACAACUGAUUUAGAAUUUAGUAAGUUU
Molecule: long non-coding RNA, 623 nt
Filed under: Bos taurus (domestic cattle)
Lineage: Eukaryota; Metazoa; Chordata; Mammalia; Artiodactyla; Bovidae
Description: long non-coding RNA NONBTAT025808
Source: RNAcentral